UACGAAGGGGCUAGCGUUGUUCGGAAUCACUGGGCGUAAAGCGCACGUAGGCGGAUCUUUAAGUCAGGGGUGAAAUCCCGAGGCUCAACCUCGGAACUGCCUUUGAUACUGGGGAUCUCGAGUCCGGGAGAGGUGAGUGGAACUGCGAGUGUAGAGGUGAAAUUCGUAGAUAUUCGCAAGAACACCAGUGGCGAAGGCGCUCACUGGCCCGAUACUGACGCUGAGGAGCGAAAGCCAGGGGAGCAAAGCGGG
RNAcentral lists this ribosomal RNA (252 nucleotides) under uncultured bacterium. Its description in RNAcentral is "partial 16S ribosomal RNA". It matches the Rfam family "Bacterial small subunit ribosomal RNA", at positions 524 to 777 of the family's 1533-position model. The record is from RNAcentral.